RNAcentral lists this long non-coding RNA (96 nucleotides) under Octodon degus (degu). RNAcentral describes it as "HOXA11 antisense RNA 1 conserved region 1 (ENSODEG00000022333.1)". It matches the Rfam family "HOXA11 antisense RNA 1 conserved region 1". The record is from RNAcentral. Lineage: Eukaryota; Metazoa; Chordata; Mammalia; Rodentia; Octodontidae.
GUCACUCGGUGUUCUCACCGAAAGCACGUAAUCGCCGGUGUAACUCAUGUUGGCUGGGGGGCCUCCCGGCGCGCAGCAAGGCUGGGGUGCGCCCCU